GUUGUGGCUCGGAGGUAAAGCGCUUGCCCAGCAAGCGUGAGGCCUGGGUUUGAUCCUCAGCACCACA
RNAcentral lists this transfer RNA (67 nucleotides) under Marmota monax (woodchuck). Its description in RNAcentral is "tRNA.Ala". The record is from RNAcentral. Lineage: Eukaryota; Metazoa; Chordata; Mammalia; Rodentia; Sciuridae.